RNAcentral lists this ribosomal RNA (1232 nucleotides) under Fusarium sp. RNAcentral describes it as "SSU rRNA". It matches the Rfam family "Eukaryotic small subunit ribosomal RNA", at positions 54 to 1302 of the family's 1831-position model. The record is from RNAcentral. Lineage: Eukaryota; Fungi; Ascomycota; Sordariomycetes; Hypocreales; Nectriaceae.
CAUGUCUAGUAUAAGCAUUAUACCGCGAAACUGCGAAUGGCUCAUUAUAUAAGUUAUCGUUUAUUUGAUAGUACCUUACUACUUGGAUAACCGUGGUAAUUCUAGAGCUAAUACAUGCUAAAAAUCCCGACUUCGGAAGGGAUGUAUUUAUUAGAUUAAAAACCAAUGCCCUUCGGGGCUCACUGGUGAUUCAUGAUAACUCCUCGAAUCGCAUGGCCUUGUGCCGGCGAUGGUUCAUUCAAAUUUCUUCCCUAUCAACUUUCGAUGUUUGGGUAUUGGCCAAACAUGGUUGCAACGGGUAACGGAGGGUUAGGGCUCGACCCCGGAGAAGGAGCCUGAGAAACGGCUACUACAUCCAAGGAAGGCAGCAGGCGCGCAAAUUACCCAAUCCCGACACGGGGAGGUAGUGACAAUAAAUACUGAUACAGGGCUCUUUUGGGUCUUGUAAUUGGAAUGAGUACAAUUUAAAUCCCUUAACGAGGAACAAUUGGAGGGCAAGUCUGGUGCCAGCAGCCGCGGUAAUUCCAGCUCCAAUAGCGUAUAUUAAAGUUGUUGUGGUUAAAAAGCUCGUAGUUGAACCUUGGGCCUGGCUGGCCGGUCCGCCUCACCGCGUGUACUGGUCCGGCCGGGCCUUUCCCUCUGUGGAACCCCAUGCCCUUCACUGGGUGUGGCGGGGAAACAGGACUUUUACUGUGAAAAAAUUAGAGUGCUCCAGGCAGGCCUAUGCUCGAAUACAUUAGCAUGGAAUAAUAGAAUAGGACGUGUGGUUCUAUUUUGUUGGUUUCUAGGACCGCCGUAAUGAUUAAUAGGGACAGUCGGGGGCAUCAGUAUUCAAUUGUCAGAGGUGAAAUUCUUGGAUUUAUUGAAGACUAACUACUGCAAAAGCAUUUGCCAAGAAUGUUUUCAUUAAUCAGGAACGAAAGUUAGGGGAUCGAAGACGAUCAGAUACCGUCGUAGUCUUAACCAUAAACUAUGCCGACUAGGGAUCGGACGGUGUUAUUUUUUGACCCGUUCGGCACCUUACGAAAAAUCAAAGUGCUUGGGCUCCAGGGGGAGUAUGUCCCAAGGCUGAAACUUAAAGAAUUUGACGGAAGGGCCCCACCAGGGUGGGAGCCUGGGGCUUAAUUUGACCCCACCCGGGGGAACCUACCAGGCCCGGACCCACUGGGGGUUGACAGAUGAAAACCUUUUCUUGAUUUUGGGGGGGGGGUCCAUGGCCGUUCUUAGGUGGG